RNAcentral lists this transfer RNA (73 nucleotides) under Thermochaetoides thermophila DSM 1495. RNAcentral's name for it is "tRNA-Ala (AGC) (tRNA-Ala-AGC-1 1 to 8)". It matches the Rfam family "tRNA". From Rfam's summary of the family: Transfer RNA (tRNA) molecules are approximately 80 nucleotides in length. RNAcentral also lists the same sequence under 2 other names. Lineage: Eukaryota; Fungi; Ascomycota; Sordariomycetes; Sordariales; Chaetomiaceae. The record is from RNAcentral.
GGGCGUGUAGCUCAUUUGGUAGAGCGCUCGCUUAGCAUGCGAGAGGUACUGGGUUCGAUUCCCAGCUCGUCCA